Molecule: long non-coding RNA, 1182 nt
Filed under: Heterocephalus glaber (naked mole-rat)
Lineage: Eukaryota; Metazoa; Chordata; Mammalia; Rodentia; Bathyergidae
Description: lncRNA (ENSHGLG00000042160.1)
Source: RNAcentral
GUCAGGGCCCAAGAGAGGCCAGAGGCUCAUUCCCCAGGAUGACCCUGGCCCCACAGGAAGUUGUGUUAAUGGGAGAUUGAACUGUGCCUGAGGAAGAUUUCCCACCUUUCCACCCAGCAGCCUCUGGAGGGAGAAGAUGCUGGCACUGAGCUUGGGGCCCAGCUCACGGAGCCGCCAUGAGCAUGAAAGUGCUGACCUUAAGACAACGUGCAGUCUGUGUCCUACUCCAUAAUAUGUCAGUGUUCAAAGAUCUUGGCUGCUACAAAGCAAGCUGUUUCCGCUGCCACAGGCCCCUGCACGUGCAUUCUGUCUCACUUCAGACUCAGAGCAUCAAGGCCAAGCAACCACAGACAGCAACUGUGAGGCAAAAUACGCCUUUUUUCUCUUUUUAAAUUGAUUUAUCUUGGCUGUUUGUCACAGUGGUAGAAAACUAAUACAGCCUUAGUGCGAUCAUUACGGCCACUACUGUCUUCACUCAACUACUACAAAGGGGGGGUGGGCAGGAAAGGGAAUGCAGGAAGUGAAUGUGUGGCCACCUCCUCUGGCAACAAGUUAGGGUGGGCAGGAACAGGUGUCCCACUGUGAGCUCUUGGCCUCCACCCUUCCUUCUGCGCCACUCAGCCAAACCAGCAGCAGCUGUCAAGGUCACCGUCAUCUGCUGCACUUUCCCAGGGAAAGGUGGGGCUCUGCACCUGUGCCCCAGGAAGGCCGUUCCCAGGAUCCUCACAUCUAUCUGCUCCCAUGCACUUCCCAGUGUUUUGGCUGCAGGAUGAUGCUGGGGCCGGCCACCUGGACGUUACCAUGGGAUGACUUCCCACCAGGGUACGCUGGAUAAGCUCAACCAGCCGAGUAGGUUUGCAUAGCCGCCCACUUGGUGCUGGCACUAAGAGCAGAGGGUGGGGCCUGGUUUCCAGCCACGCCCUCCCCCAGGAAAGCCUGGAGAACCCCAGGGCAAAGGAAGGUAGACCCUCUCAGUCACAACCUGGAAGGGUACAGCCGAGCAAGGUUUAUUUUUAAAACCUCCCCAGGGUGUCCUGGUGCCAGGCAACCUGGAUUGGAAACCACUCUUGUAAAGCAAUGUUUUUGUGCACAAGGAAGAGCCUAUGCCACAGAGGUGUUCCGUCAAGUUCAGGGUCACCUGCAGCCCCUUUUGGGUGCAUUGUUACAAGGGGCCAGUUGGGG